Molecule: long non-coding RNA, 953 nt
Filed under: Salvia miltiorrhiza (redroot sage)
Lineage: Eukaryota; Viridiplantae; Streptophyta; Magnoliopsida; Lamiales; Lamiaceae
Description: long non-coding RNA (SMIL_LNC005356)
Source: RNAcentral
UAGGCUAGUUAUCUUAACUUUACAAAACUCGCACUUUGCCACUUUAAGGUCUAUAGUUUUCAAGAUUUCAAACAGCAUUCGCUCAAAUACACGACAAGUAUAACCUUCUAAACAGUUCUUUCUUUAAGAAGUGCAAGAUCAUGAGUGAAUCCCUUAGCCAACUUCGACAAAUUUAGGCUUUCAGGUGCCAAGUGUGAGAGAAACAAUCAUACAAUAAGGUGCACGUUGUGAACGUUGUGAAUUGAUGUAUCAAAAAAUUAGCCAAGCAACCAACUGCAUCCAGCAAAGGAGCAGCUAUUACACAAUGCAACUAAGAAUUUUAACAGCAGAAACGCCAAAGGUUAUCCGCAUUAUGAUAGUACAAAUACAUGAAUUAACCAACGACGAAAUUCAAUGACGUUAAAGAACCCAAGAAACCGGUCCACAUUCACAUAACUGAACUAAGAUAGCGAUGGAAAAGAUCCGCGCAUUGAAACGUUCAGAAUAAAAUGAAAAAUUCCAGAAAACUGAAAAGUCUAAAUAAAACCAGCAACAAAGGAAUUUUGACCCGAAACACACACUCACUGCAGAAUGUUGGCGGCAGAUUUUCUGUACUUGUUUCGAUGAAUUCGAUUCCGCCCAAUCAAAUACUCUCACUUAUUCCUAAUAUCGAUUUAGGUUUUUGGAAGCAAAAGAUUGUUUGAGAAAAAANAGGUGGCCAAGUGUGAGAGAAAACAAAUCAUACAAUAAGGUGCACGUUGUGAACGUUGUGAAUUGAUGUAUCAAAAAAUUAGCCAAGCAACCAACUGCAUCCAGCAAAGGAGCAGCUAUUACACAAUGCAACUAAGAAUUUUAACAGCAGAAACGCCAAAGGUUAUCCGCAUUAGGAUAGUACAAAUACAUGAAUUAACCAACGACGAAAUUCAAUGACGUUAAACAACCCAAGAAACCGGUCCACAUUCACAUAACUGAAC